AAAUAUAAAAUAAAGUUAUAUGUCUCAUAAUAUAAGAAUUUAUACAACAACAUAAUAGUACCAUUACUAAAUGCAUAAUAAGAUUAAAUAUUAAAAAGUUAGGCAAAUAUAAAAUAUCUUAUAUUAAUAAUGAUAUUAAUGGUAUUUUUGACAUGUGUAUUUUAAACAACAAUUUAUGGCAUUCAAGUAUAAUUUAAGGUAUGCGUAUUUUAAGGAAGAAUUUAAGGCAUGUGUAUUUUGAACAACAAUUUCAUAUUGUGACAUACACAAGGGCACAUUGAUUGAUAUUAAACCAUUUAAGCAGAAUUGAGAUAUGGUUAAACAAAAGAUGAAUGGCUGAGAUAAAUUUUUUGAUAAGGGCGUUUUAGUUGAAAAAAUGUUCUUAUGUAAGUUUUGUGAAAUUCAUUUUAAAUUUUAUCAAAUUUGAUAGGAAUUGGUUU
This 440-nucleotide unclassified non-coding RNA is filed under the name Hevea brasiliensis (rubber tree). The record is from RNAcentral. Lineage: Eukaryota; Viridiplantae; Streptophyta; Magnoliopsida; Malpighiales; Euphorbiaceae.